Molecule: long non-coding RNA, 972 nt
Filed under: Salmo salar (Atlantic salmon)
Lineage: Eukaryota; Metazoa; Chordata; Actinopteri; Salmoniformes; Salmonidae
Description: lncRNA (ENSSSAG00000103767.1)
Source: RNAcentral
GCACCAACAGAUUUGGGACCAGGCUACAGUUUCCUCACUUUAUAAAACACGAAGAAGAGUGCAGCUCAACUCCACAACAAAUCACCAACCGAAAACAACCUCAAGACGUGUACCAUAAGAAACACUUUACUUUGACUGCAGUACAAUCCAUAGUGCUUGAGCAUCUAGAUCAGGGAUCUCCAGCCCUGUUCCUGGAGUACAUACCUUCCUGUAGGUUUACACUCCAACCCUGUUCCUGGAGGUUUUAACUCCAACCCUGUUCCUGGAGAGAUACCCCUCCUGUAGGUUUUAACUCCAACCCUGUUCCUGGAGAGAUACCCCUCCUGUAGGUUUUAACUCCAACCCUGUUCCUGGAGAGAUACCCUCCUGGAGGUUUUAACUCCAACCCUGUUCCUGGAGAGAUACCCCUCCUGGAGGUUUUAACUCCAACCCUGUUCCUGGAGAGAUACCCUCCUGUAGGUUAAAUAGACUCAGACAGAUACAUCAAUAUUCACACUGACAGGUUAAAUAGACUCAGACAGAUACAUCAAUAUUCAAACUGACAUGUUAAAUAGACUCAGACAGAUACAUCAAUAUUCACACUGACAGGUUAAAUAGACUCAGAUAACACACUUGACUAGGGUGAAUGAUAAGAAUGUCCUCUUUCUCUCUCCCCCUCCCACGCAAGCGCGCACACACACACACACACCAAUCAUCGUCCUCAUUCAUCGCUGUUGCUGGACAGAUCCUCACAUAUUAUCCUGACAUUGAGAGCUCUCAUGGAGUGGAUCUGUGCAACAGGUGCUCAGGACGGUUUGGGGGGGGGGGGGUCGACAUCACUUCCUCCCUCCCAUCCCAGCAAUGCACUCUGGGAUCUGUAGUAGCAUACAUAUACACAUUACGAAUGCUUUUUUUUUCUUCUUCUUCCUCCUUACAAUUUUCAAAUGUAUUUUUGUAUAAUUUAUUAAGGGACAUUGUACGCCCUAACUGGUG